UUGUUUAUUGUAUCAAGUGAGAAAGACCACAACCAGGCGAAUAUUCAGGCCACCAUGAUUCGAAGCAAACUGAGAAGGGUUCCCAGGUUUAGAACCAUGUUCAGCAGCAUGUUCCAUUAUCCAAGAUAUUCUGUUUAUUGGAGCAAGGCAGAUCCUGUUCCAUCAUUCAUCAGUCGGGACUGGAAGCGACAUGAGGAAAGGCACAGAGAAACCCUCCAGCAACUUGCUGCAAUUGAUGCUGCUUUUCAGAUGCCUCAAGAAGUUUAUGAAGAUCCUGAUGUUACUGGAAAGAAUCGCUAUAAAUAUUUUGAAAGGCCUUUCCUUCCAUUUUAUCAGCAGAUGCCACUCAGUGUUGUUUUUGCAUCAACCAGGGCAGAUCCAUAUACUUUUCCUCCUCCUCCUACUAAGUACCUGCCCAUUCCUUCGAAGUACACGGUGGGCACUCAGACUGAUUAUCGGGAUGCUGAAGUUCAAACAGACCCGUAUUCUCCAGAAUAUGUAGUAUGUCAGGAUUCCAUCCCUGAGCUCCUAACCCUGGCUACUCUCACUUGGGGUCGAGGUCUCCCGGCAGGACAAGCUGAAGUAGAGAUGAUAGAACGUGCCCGGGAGAAGCGUGCUUGGGAAGACACCCUGCCCCCUCUGAGUGACACCUCCCAGUUUGAGAAAAGGAGGCGGAUGAUGAAUGCCAUGGAGAGGAAGGAGUGGGCCUUCAGAGAGCAGGAGAUUGAGAAAUUGCAGGAGAUUCGCCUGGAAGUUCUAAAAGAACUGCUGAAGAAGCGUGACAAGAAUCAAAAUGACGUGAACAUGGCACGCUUGAAUGCCCAGUGGUCUAAACUACAGGAAGCAAAGGAGGCAAAGUUGGCACAGAUUCAACGCAAGCAUGUAUCAGCAAUCAGAAAACUUAUGGGAAAAGGGAAGAAUAUAGAAGGGAAGUUGGAGAGAAGAAAUAUCAUCAAGGAUUAUUGUGAUUAUGCAUCACAGGUCUAUGGACCUCUAUCUCGCCUUGGUCGUUUCCCAGACAACAAUUCAGAGGACUUUGUGGUAAAAAACCACUAUCUCAACACCUAUGAAGGAUUAGUUGAACUUGAGUCAUGUCUCCCAGAUUUUGUGACACAACCCCGAAUCAAACCACCAAAACCAAAAGUCACUACUACCAAAGAUGGUUUUCUAAAGAGGGCUGCAAGGAUGGACCAUGAGUUGGCAGAGGUUCAUAAGGCACUGUUGGAAAAGAAGAAUAAGGAUUUCAAAGCAAAGAAGCCUAUGCGUUUUCUUCAAAGAAAGCCAGUACCUCAACCUCGACUUCCAACUCCAACCCUGGAGAUGAGUUCCAAUGAAGAAGAAGAUAUAGAAAUGGCAGUGAUCUACCUUCAAAAGUUGCUCCGGGGCAGAGUUGUUCAAAACAUGAUGUUUGAAGGGAAAGAGAAGCGACUGGAGUUGAUCCAGGAGCUGCGCACCAGCCACGCACUGCAAGAAGAUGACAGGCUGGUGAAGAAAGCCGAGAAGCAGGUGACCCUGGCCCUGCAGCGGCAGAGGAACUUGCACGAGCACAAGGUGUCGCUGGUUGAAAACCAUUUGGCUGGACUGGAAGGAAGGGUGCUGGCGGACAUGUUUGACUUCCUGUCCAAAGAGCUGGUGAGACUGCAGGAGGAGAGGCGGGUCCAUGCCCUGGCCAUGCUGGCCGAGCGGCAGCGCCGGAUGCGUGAAGCUGAAGAGAGUGGCCGGCGCCAGGUGGAGCAGAGGCGCCUGCAGGAGGAGGACCGGAUAUUUAAGGAGGUGAUUAAAGUUCACCAAAGCACUGUAACUUCCUAUCUGGAGGACAUAAUACUGAACACUGAAGAGAAUACUGCAGAAGAACAAGCCAGGGCAGAAAUAGAGAAGAUGGCUGAGGAAAUCAAUGACAUUGCUUAUGAAAUGGAAAGCCGUCGAACUCAGCUUCAAUCAGAGGAGAUUGUGGCCGAGUUGGUUUACAGUUUCCUGAUCCCGGAGGUGCAAAAGGACUUUGUCAAAGAAAAGGUGAGGAAUGCUCAGCGGAAGCAUAUCCUGGCAGCCCAUCAGAUCAUUCACAGGCACACAGAGGACAUGCUCAAGACGCAUUUUGUUGAGCAACGGCAGACACCAGACACUGAGCUACUUGAGGGAGAAACUGAAAAUGAGCAAAAUACCUAAGCCUUAGAAGCACAGUUCCUCCACUGGGUCCCUUGGAUCUCUCCCUAUCCAGCUGAUGUUUGAGAGUGAGUGAAAGAAUCUGAGCACACACUGGGAAGAACUCAGCUGUAAGGCACUGCCAGCCAGUGCUCCAGGUGGAUGAAGGACUGAGUGCUUUCAUCUUGAAACAGUGAUCUGGGCAGCAUAUCACAGCAUCCUGUGGACGUAUAAAGACUCAGCUUUCUGGUGGAAGAUAGGAGAUGGUGAAAGGGAAAGUUGCUCAGUCGUGUCCGACUCUUUGCGAGUCCAUGGACUAUACAGUCCAUGGAAUUCUCCAGGGAGGUGAUGAGGGCCGACUUAAGGCAAUAAUAUAAAUUAUAACAGUGAGCCGAGACAUACCACUGAGACAGGAUGGUGGAGUAGGACAUGAGUUUACCUCUUCUUAUGGAAACAUCAAAAUCACAACUAACUGCUGAAAAACCAUCGACAGAAAAAUGUUGGAACCUAUCAAAGAUACUCUGCAUCCAAAGAAGAAGCCACAAUGAGAUGACUAGAGGGGCGCAAUACAAUCAAAUCCCAUACAUGCCAGGAUGAUCUUUUAAAGAGAAGCUGUACAAAUCAUCAUAGAGAAUUCCAGUUGUCUGCCCUUCUUCCAAGAUGUGCAGCUCUUAGGGCUUGUCAGUGUGUGUUGCAUAUGAGGAAAGAUUUCUCUUCUUUAAACUCCCAAUGAUUUAACGUGAUUUUCAGUAAUAACAAUCAAAUGAAGGAGCUUUAUUCUCUCUGGUAUUUCCUAGAUGCUCUACUUAAAGAGAAAAUUUUCUCAUGUCUCAUUUCAACAUUUCGUUCACUACAAAGAUAUACCGGCUUGUUGAGUCAAAUAUAAAUCAGUAAAAAAAAAAAUGUUACUGAA
Odocoileus virginianus texanus is the source of this 3055-nucleotide non-coding RNA. NCBI's taxonomy places the organism in Eukaryota, Metazoa, Chordata, Mammalia, Artiodactyla, Cervidae. The record is from RefSeq and is a predicted model, not a curated record.